This 253-nucleotide ribosomal RNA is filed under the name uncultured bacterium. RNAcentral's name for it is "partial 16S ribosomal RNA". It matches the Rfam family "Bacterial small subunit ribosomal RNA", at positions 524 to 776 of the family's 1533-position model. The record is from RNAcentral.
UACGUAGGGUGCAAGCGUUGUCCGGAAUUAUUGGGCGUAAAGAGCUCGUAGGCGGUCUGUCGCGUCUGCUGUGAAAACUCGGGGCUUAACCCCGGGCCUGCAGUGGGUACGGGCAGACUAGAGUGCGGUAGGGGAGACUGGAAUUCCUGGUGUAGCGGUGAAAUGCGUAGAGAUCAGGAGGAACACCUAUGGCGAAAGCAGGUUACUGGCCCAAUACUGACACUGAGCUGCGAAAGCUAGGGGAGCAAACAGG